Molecule: long non-coding RNA, 1765 nt
Filed under: Nicotiana tabacum (common tobacco)
Lineage: Eukaryota; Viridiplantae; Streptophyta; Magnoliopsida; Solanales; Solanaceae
Description: long non-coding RNA (NTAB_LNC004517)
Source: RNAcentral
ACAAACAGGAAGUUUGCUUAGACAACCCAUUCAACAAUGACAAAAGUAGACAGUAGUCAUAAUUGGUUCCUGAAGUUUAGAACUAACCAAACUACUAUAUCAUGCAUCCACCAACUAGUUUGGAAAGGGAACUAACAAGAAAAUUAUAAGUCUAAUUUGAAUAGGAUAUGGUAUUUGAGUCAUAAUGCAUACACAUAAUGAAAGUCAACAACAAAAGAUUAAAACGGAAGAAACAGAGACUGUUGCUUAUUUACUUGUCUUAUUAUAUGGCUCUUCUGCAACAACAGAUAUAAUAAAUCAUGGAAUAAAGAAACAGAUCUUACAUUUAUCCUAAACUAACAAUUGAUGAGUACAACUUAUGCAUCAAAUACAGUAAUACUUUAUGCCAAGAUACUACACUUGCAGAGUUGAAAUUGUGACAUUUAUGUCACGACGUAGAUAGAGCUACAUCAAAAAGAAAAAAUUGAAAUUCAAAAUCAGCCUUUCAAAGUUCUAUCAAAAUGCUAUAAUUAGUAAGUACCAAGAGAUAAUUGAUCCAAUUUCAUAGGGUAAAAAGUAUAGGAAAAAUGAGAAAACUCACGUGUCAACUAUCUCACUAUAGAACUGGAUCGAAGUAGACGGUGCUGGGAUUGACGGAAGAGGGCAACGGUUUGAGCGAACUGGAAAAAAUUCGAUUUGAGCGUUCAGAUGAACAAAUUAAACAGAAAAAGGGAAAAAAACUUACAGUAUGAGAAGAAAGAGAGAGAGCUGAGUGAUUAGUAACAAGAUUCCAACAGAAAGAGCCGGAAAGCAAAAGAAAAAUUAGAAAAAAUCAUUAACAUGUUAUUUAAUCAACCAUAAAUUACAUAAAAUUUCAGUGACUACUAAUGACCAAUAACAACAGCAAAUGAGCUUUACAAGAAUAUGAUUUUUUUUUUUAAAAAAAAAGAGAAAGAAAGAGGAACAUAAAUAAAAGAUGUAAAAGUCUUGAUCAGACUUCAGACCAAAUCGUUAUAAGCGUUAUCUAUUCUUUCAAACAACAGAUUGUCCAUAUACUUUAAAUCAAAUGUAUUAAUUUUACUUCAUAUUCAUUUAUUAUUUACGCUUUCAUGGUUCCGAAACAGGUUUCUGAAUUAAACAAAUUAAAUGGAUAUACAUGAUUUCAUAUAGAAGGCAAAGCUAAGGUUGAUUUAAUUUACCAACUUCAAAAAAGGCUCUAACAUCCUUCUGGAUUAUUUAAUUCUCUCUAUUCAUAGUUCCAUAUUAUACGUUGUGAAAUAAAAAAUUAUUCAAUACUCUUGAAAAUCCCCUCAGUAUAUAUAUAGUUUUGUUAAUAUACACAUCAAAUUCACAUCUAAAAUGACGCUCAGUUGCAACUUUAUUCAAGCUGUUAAGUGACAAACAAAUUAAAUAUUUGACUGCAAACUUAAUAAAUCCGCCACACAUAAUCCAAUAGAUGAAAUCCAAUCAAAUUAAAGUGAGGACUAACCGAACCAAACUGAAGAUAGCCCAGAUGCUCCUUUCCCUGUUCUAAGUUGAAUUAUGAGUAGCAAGAGAAGGGGAAAUUAGUAGGGUAAAAUGGUAAAGCAGCAGAACCGAUCUAGUUGAGGAUAUAUAGCAAUGUCUAUUCUGGAAAUCCCCAUAGACAUAGUGGGAUAUAUAUAUUUGGGGAGAGAGGGGUUAUCGGUGUCGAGCAGAGAGAGGGGGGUUAUUGGUGAGCAGAGAGAGAGAAAAUUAGGGAAAUAGGGUUUGGAUGUGGAAUAUUAGAUUAAUAUUACAAACCACC